This 254-nucleotide ribosomal RNA is filed under the name uncultured bacterium. RNAcentral's name for it is "partial 16S ribosomal RNA". It matches the Rfam family "Bacterial small subunit ribosomal RNA", at positions 524 to 776 of the family's 1533-position model. The record is from RNAcentral.
UACGAAGGGGGCUAGCGUUGCUCGGAAUUACUGGGCGUAAAGGGCGCGUAGGCGGUUCUAUAAGUCAGGCGUGAAAUUCCUGGGCUUAACCUGGGGGCUGCGCUUGAGACUGUGGGACUUGAGGUCAGAAGAGGGUCGUGGAAUUCCCAGUGUAGAGGUGAAAUGCGUAGAUAUGUGGAGGAACACCGGUGGCGAAGGCGGGUCUCUGGGCCGGAUACUGACGCUGAGGAGCGAAAGCGUGGGGAGCGAACAGG